Molecule: ribosomal RNA, 497 nt
Filed under: uncultured bacterium
Lineage: Bacteria
Description: partial 16S ribosomal RNA
Rfam family: Bacterial small subunit ribosomal RNA
Source: RNAcentral
GACGAACGCUGGCGGCGUGCCUAAUACAUGCAAGUUGAGCGCUGAAGGUUGGUACUUGUACCAACUGGAUGAGCAGCGAACGGGUGAGUAACGCGUGGGGAAUCUGCCUUUGAGCGGGGGACAACAUUUGGAAACGAAUGCUAAUACCGCAUAAAAACUUUAAACACAAGUUUUAAGUUUGAAAGGUGCAAUUGCAUCACUCAAAGAUGAUCCCGCGUUGUAUUAGCUAGUUGGUGAGGUAAAGGCUCACCAAGGCGAUGAUACCUAGCCGACCUGGGAGGGUGAUCGGCCACAUUGGGACUGAGACACGGCCCAAACUCCUACGGGAGGCAGCAGUAGGGAAUCUUCGGCAAUGGACGAAAGUCUGACCGAGCAACGCCGCGUGAGUGAAGAAGGUUUUCGGAUCGUAAAACUCUGUUGGUAGAGAAGAACGUUGGUGAGAGUGGAAAGCUCAUCAAGUGACGGUAACUACCCAGAAAGGGACGGCUAACUACGUG